CUACGGGGUGCAGCAGUGGGGAAUAUUGGGCAAUGGGCGCAAGCCUGACCCAGCAACGCCGCGUGAGGGAAGAAGGUUUUCGGAUUGUAAACCUCUGUCCUUGGGGACGAAGAAGUGACGGUACCCAAGGAGGAAGCUCCGGCUAACUACGUGCCAGCAGCCGCGGUAAUACGUAGGGAGCAAGCGUUGUCCGGAAUUACUGGGCGUAAAGGGUGCGUAGGCGGCAUAUUAAGUCAGGUGUGAAAUACUCGGGCUCAACCCGGGGGCUGCAUUUGAAACUGAUAUGCUUGAGUGUGAGAGAGGAAAGUGGAAUUCCUAGUGUAGCGGUGGGAUGCGUAGAUAUUAGGAGGAACACCAGUGGCGAAGGCGACUUUCUGGCUCAUAACUGACGCUGAGGCACGAAAGCGUGGGGAGCAAACAGGAUUAGACACCCCGGUAGUC
This 441-nucleotide ribosomal RNA is filed under the name uncultured bacterium. RNAcentral describes it as "partial 16S ribosomal RNA". It matches the Rfam family "Bacterial small subunit ribosomal RNA", at positions 339 to 795 of the family's 1533-position model. The record is from RNAcentral.